RNAcentral lists this long non-coding RNA (329 nucleotides) under Homo sapiens (human). RNAcentral's name for it is "non-protein coding lnc-GGH-4:1". Lineage: Eukaryota; Metazoa; Chordata; Mammalia; Primates; Hominidae. The record is from RNAcentral.
UAUUAUUCAUGGAUUGAAGAAAUCAAAAUGGCUGAAGAUAAAGAAUCAAUGUGAAACCAGUUACUGUCUUGUACUGAAGAUUAUUUGAAGGACUGUCAGGGAUUCUGCCUGAAAGUUUCAUCAUAAAUGACUUCCCACCACUCAGCUUUUCUGACUUCCUGGGCCUGCUCUUGCUGAGAGAUCUGUGCACUCGAUAGGCUUUUCCUCUGUCACCACUCUGUUGCUUUGACUCAUUGGGUUAGAUUGUGUCUGAAAUGUAGAGUUUUGUGCAUAGAGCUAGAAAACUUAAUUGAAGUUGUUAGAAUCACAUCUAAAAUAAAAAUGUAAAC